Molecule: long non-coding RNA, 1226 nt
Organism: Cyprinus carpio carpio
Lineage: Eukaryota; Metazoa; Chordata; Actinopteri; Cypriniformes; Cyprinidae
Source: Ensembl
GUGUGUUAUAAAGACAAAAUUGUGAGGUAUAAAUGCAAUUCUGAGAUAUAAAUUCAGAACUGUGAGACAUAAACUCACAAUUGUAAGAAAAUAGCUUUUUUUUGGACUUUGUAACUCACAAUUGCAAGUUUAUAUCACAAUUCCGACUUCUUUUCUCAGAAUUGUGAGAGAUAAACUCACAAUUGUAAGAAAUGUCACAAUUGCAAGAUGUAAACUUUUACUUUUAUUAAUUUUUUUUUAUAUUCAGUGGCGGAAACGGAUGUUGAUACGAUAAGUGAUAUUGCAUAAAGAUGCUUUUGGUUGAGAAAGACUUAAGACUGGUUUGUUUAUUGAGGGUUUGAGUUUAUUGAGUCUUAAAAGGAAAGUGAUAAAAACGUGAAAAAAACAUAUUUGGACUACUGCAGUGAAAAAAAAAAAAAAGACUUCAUAUAAUACACAAAGAAGUGAAGAAAUGCAUGUGAACUCCAGCUGCUCUGAUCUGAUGAUAAUGAAGGGCGUUGAGACUGUUGUGUGGUUGUGGGCACACAAUGAGAGCAUGUAUUGUUUUCAUGUAUUUAUGAGAUUCUAAACACUAUUAAAGCUGCAAUGUGUCAUUUCUGCCACUAAAAUAUGCCCCAGACUCACACCAUUGGCUAAGCUGAUGCUUUAAUGUUGGGUUCAAUCAUGCUGCUCAAAUAAACAGUUUGCAUUCCAGUUUGAUGCUGUGUGAUUAAACACUUCAUCUUUACCAGCAACAAACUAUAAUUCUACAUUUUCUCCAUGCUUAUGCAUAAAAACACUGCCACAAAAAAGUCACUGUUUUUAGUGCAUUUUUAUGUGGUUUUGAAGUUGUUCUGGGUGGUGACGACAGGGCAUCAGAUGGUUGCUAUGCAUUUGCAUAAGUGGCUAUAGGGUUUUCUGAUUGGUUGUUAGGGUGUUGCUAUGCAUUUGAUAUGGUAUUCUAUAGUAGGUGGUUGCUAGGGCAUUUUUAGGCAUUGCUACAGUUUUAAGGUGGUUGCUAGGGUAUUACCUUGCAGUUGCUAGGGUAUUCAAAUGGUUGCUAGGGUCUUCUGGGUGAUUGCUGGGGUGUUGCUAUGCAUUUGCUAUGAUAUUCUAUAUUAGGUGGUUGCUAGGGCGUUUUUAGGCAUUGCUACAGUUUUGUGGUGGUUGCUAGAUAUUUUCUUUGCAGUUGCCAGGGUAUUCGAAGCAGUUGUUAUGGUGUUGCUGUGUGGUUGCUGGGGAAUUCU